CUCAGAUUGAACGCUGGCGGAAUGCUUUACACAUGCAAGUCGAACGGCAGCACGGGGGCAACCUGGUGGCGAGUGGCGAACGGGUGAGUAAUACAUCGGAACGUGCCCAAUCGUGGGGGAUAACGUAGCGAAAGUUACGCUAAUACCGCAUACGAUCUACGGAUGAAAGCGGGGGAUCGCAAGACCUCGCGCGAGUGGAGCGGCCGAUGUCAGAUUAGGUAGUUGGUGGGGUAAAGGCUCACCAAGCCAACGAUCUGUAGCUGGUCUGAGAGGACGACCAGCCACACUGGAACUGAGACACGGUCCAGACUCCUACGGGAGGCAGCAGUGGGGAAUUUUGGACAAUGGGCGCAAGCCUGAUCCAGCCAUUCCGCGUGCAGGAUGAAGGCCUUCGGGUUGUAAACUGCUUUGUACGGAACGAAACGGCGAGCUCUAAUACAGUUUGCUAAUGACGGUACCGUAAGAAUAAGCACCGGCUAACUACGUG
This 487-nucleotide ribosomal RNA is filed under the name uncultured bacterium. Its description in RNAcentral is "bacterial SSU rRNA". It matches the Rfam family "Bacterial small subunit ribosomal RNA", at positions 23 to 507 of the family's 1533-position model. The record is from RNAcentral.